Molecule: long non-coding RNA, 212 nt
Filed under: Elaeis guineensis (African oil palm)
Lineage: Eukaryota; Viridiplantae; Streptophyta; Magnoliopsida; Arecales; Arecaceae
Description: long non-coding RNA (EGUI_LNC049614)
Source: RNAcentral
UUCACACCUUGAUCCAUGUGAAAGAUGAUAUUCUAAUCUUGACUCUUGAUCCUUAAGCUAUGUUCAAACUUUGGUUUCUUCAUGAAUUUCUUCCAUUUAUGCUCCCCUCUUGGUGCCUACAAUCUGGACCCUUGGAUGGUUGGAUAGCUUGGUUACUGGCCCUUGAUUUCAUCUUCAAUCUAUGGGAGAAUGUUCCAAGAACUAAUAGCCUU